Molecule: transfer RNA, 79 nt
Filed under: Desulfobacterales bacterium
Lineage: Bacteria; Pseudomonadati; Thermodesulfobacteriota; Desulfobacteria; Desulfobacterales
Description: tRNA-Asp
Rfam family: tRNA
About the family: Transfer RNA (tRNA) molecules are approximately 80 nucleotides in length. Their secondary structure includes four short double-helical elements and three loops (D, anti-codon, and T loops).
Source: RNAcentral
GGGGGCGUAGUUCAGUUUGGUUUAGAACGCCGGCCUGUCACGCCGGAGGUCGCGAGUUCGAGUCUCGUCGCUCCCGCCA